This 66-nucleotide transfer RNA is filed under the name Cobelura sp. KM-2017. RNAcentral's name for it is "tRNA-Asn". The record is from RNAcentral. Lineage: Eukaryota; Metazoa; Arthropoda; Insecta; Coleoptera; Cerambycidae.
UUAAUUGAAACCAAAUUAGAGGUUUAUCACUGUUAAUGAUAAUAUUGGGGAAUUCCCCCAAUUAAG